GAUGAACGCUGGCGGCGUGCUUAACACAUGCAAGUCGAACGGAAAGGCUCCUGCUUGCAGGGGUACUCGAGUGGCGAACGGGUGAGUAACACGUGGGUGAUCUGCCCUGCACUUCGGGAUAAGCCUGGGAAACUGGGUCUAAUACCGGAUAGGACCACAUUUUGGAUGGUGUGGUGGAAAGUUUUUCGGUGUGGGAUGAGCUCGCGGCCUAUCAGCUUGUUGGUGGGGUAAUGGCCUACCAAGGCGUCGACGGGUAGCCGGCCUGAGAGGGUGUACGGCCACAUUGGGACUGAGAUACGGCCCAGACUCCUACGGGAGGCAGCAGUGGGGAAUAUGGCACAAUGGGCGCAAGCCUGAUGCAGCGACGCCGCGUGGGGGAUGACGGCCUUCGGGUUGUAAACUCCUUUCGCUAGGGACGAAGCGCAAGUGACGGUACCUGGAGAAGAAGCACCGGCUAACUACGUG
RNAcentral lists this ribosomal RNA (465 nucleotides) under uncultured bacterium. RNAcentral's name for it is "partial 16S ribosomal RNA". It matches the Rfam family "Bacterial small subunit ribosomal RNA", at positions 28 to 507 of the family's 1533-position model. The record is from RNAcentral.